This 1377-nucleotide long non-coding RNA is filed under the name Carassius auratus (goldfish). Its description in RNAcentral is "lncRNA (ENSCARG00000036099.1)". The record is from RNAcentral. Lineage: Eukaryota; Metazoa; Chordata; Actinopteri; Cypriniformes; Cyprinidae.
AUGAGUCUAAUACAUCCCAUCUAUGUCCCACCAAUGAACACUCAUACAUUGCUCAUCGACAAAGACCUGCUAGAACACUUUGACCCUUUUCUGAACUUCAAACAGCUAAAAGACUUUGCUCAAGUGCGAGAACCUCUUUCUCUCCAGCCACACAGGUUGCUAGAGCCAGACUGUCAGGUCACAGAGGUCACGGGAACCCCAGCAGCCAGCCAUGAGUACAACGCCCUAACGACAGGCUUAAGUUCAUGCCUCUGUACCUUAGUCAACAAACAGGGUACGGUGGUACCAGCUUACACCAAAGGGGUCGCUGUUCGGCUCAACCUGCAAUGUGAUCAAACCUUACACCACACGCUGGGUUUCUUCCAACCCUCACCUGAAUGUGUAGAACUCGGACUCACACUUGCAAACAACAAGCAUGUCAAACACCAACACCUGUUCCAGCAAGGUGAUAACAUCACAAAAACACUCAAUGUGAUCGGGUACUGGAAGAAGGCAAAAGGACACUCGAAGUUACCAAGUCUAGACAAGGACUUUAAAGAUCACACUGACACCCUUGCCAAAACUGGCACACUAAACAACAUUCUGUGGUCACUCCCAACCCACCCACCCACAUUCAAGGUUGAAGUGAUUACACACAGCAGAAGAACUUUACUAGCUAAACUGCCUACCUCAGAAUCGCUUACGCUGGCUCUGUUGUCUACACAGACCAACAUAGCGGACAUGCGUGCUUCUGAAAACUCGAUAAUGACUUUGCUUUACCCCCUCUCAGACCCCUCCAUCCACCCUGGCAACCAGUCUACAGUCACUGACAACCAAAGCCCCAGACCACUGCAUGAUACACAAACCAUGCUGCGUGCACAGAACAAUAUUGUGGGUUGUGCACCGUCUGACAUCACAAUGCCAGGGCUUGUAAUGCCACGGAGCAAAAGGGGGAUAAUGCCAAUAUAUUUCCAUGAAGCAGCAUGUGCUGCACCACGCAGCACCAGAGCCACUGACAAAACACUGAAGCAAGUGUCAUGCCAGCAGCAAGAUGUGGCAAAACAUGGGCGAGGGCGAGCUAAACCCAGUCGCCGCCCACUAAGCAAAGAGGCUGCCCUGUCCAACCAAAGACAGCCCUCGUUUGUUUCUUUCUCACCUUUCUCUCUCUCUCUCCCUAUUAUCUGUACCAGGAUGCUGCUGUGGUUUGCCGUGCCGUGCUGUCAGCCAAAGAGAGGACAGCUGCCACCGAGAAAACCGCCGAGACUCCUGACUACCGAUGACAGGGCACACUACCCAAGCACUGUAACCUCAGCUGUACAAGGUUCCGAUGGAGAGAGGACUCCGUCACUCACACUGAGGCCGAUGUCAAACACAUGUUCAUCCAACAUGAGAAAGUGA